Molecule: ribosomal RNA, 583 nt
Filed under: uncultured Collimonas sp.
Lineage: Bacteria; Pseudomonadati; Pseudomonadota; Betaproteobacteria; Burkholderiales; Oxalobacteraceae
Description: bacterial SSU rRNA
Rfam family: Bacterial small subunit ribosomal RNA
Source: RNAcentral
ACGGGUGAGUAAUAUGUCGGAACGUACCUUUGAGUGGGGGAUAACUAGUCGAAAGAUUAGCUAAUACCGCGUACGAUCUACGGAUGAAAGUGGGGGAUCGCAAGACCUCAUGCUCAUAGAGCGGCCGAUAUCUGAUUAGCUAGUUGGUGAGGUAAAGGCUCACCAAGGCUUCGAUCAGUAGCUGGUCUGAGAGGACGACCAGCCACACUGGGACUGAGACACGGCCCAGACUCCUACGGGAGGCAGCAGUGGGGAAUUUUGGACAAUGGGGGCAACCCUGAUCCAGCAAUGCCGCGUGAGUGAAGAAGGCCUUCGGGUUGUAAAGCUCUUUUGUCAGGGAAGAAACGGGGUGUCCUAAUACGAUGCCCUAAUGACGGUACCUGAAGAAUAAGCACCGGCUAACUACGUGCCAGCAGCCGCGGUAAUACGUAGGGUGCAAGCGUUAAUCGGAAUUACUGGGCGUAAAGCGUGCGCAGGCGGUUAUGUAAGACAGGUGUGAAAUCCCCGGGCUUAACCUGGGAAUGGCAUUUGUGACUGCAUAGCUAGAGUGUGUCAGAGGGGGGUAGAAUUCCACGUGUAGCAG